This is a long non-coding RNA of Gadus morhua (Atlantic cod), 642 nucleotides long. RefSeq lists it as uncharacterized. The record is from RefSeq and is a predicted model, not a curated record. Lineage: Eukaryota; Metazoa; Chordata; Actinopteri; Gadiformes; Gadidae. The transcript is spliced from 2 exons.
CUCUUUUAGAAAGCUCUGUGCUGGCCUGUAGCUAUCUUUAACCCUGAUUAUCAGCUCACGGUGGUGGAGGAGGAGAGAGACUUGAGGGACGGGGGUUGGUUUUUCUCACACUGGCGGCUCACGGCUAACAGCUAGUGGCUAACGGCUAGCAAAUCCUGUCGUGUCGUUCUUAGUGUUCUGGCGACCUAGAUUGUCAUCAAAGGGGGUGAGGUCUUCGGUAAAACGGAAGUGAAUGAAGGAAACGGCAGACCUCAAGUCGAGUCAAACUAAAUUGUGCAGCACUUACAGUUAAACAGCUACACUCUAAAAGGGCCUCGCAGGCAAAACAUGAUACGACAUUUACCCGAACCCAUAGCCUUCGAUAGAGACAGGACCCAGAAUCUAAAGGUGAAGAAACCUGGAGAAGGAAUACAGAAGAGGUAUCCCUCCUUCCACAAUGUUCCUCCCUGGUUCUAAAGAACGUUUUUACCAGAGGAUAUUGAUCAUCUUCUACAAUCAGGCAACGGAGUCGACAGAACGGAUUGACCCACAAUGCACUUCGAGAGCGGCCCAUGAAAAAGCCAAUGAGAUCCGUCGAUGGACGUGUACAGUGUGAACGCGGUGUUGGUCCGUCUUUUCAGUGAAAUAAACUUUCAAACUAUA